This is a long non-coding RNA of Salvia hispanica, 219 nucleotides long. RefSeq lists it as uncharacterized. The record is from RefSeq and is a predicted model, not a curated record. Lineage: Eukaryota; Viridiplantae; Streptophyta; Magnoliopsida; Lamiales; Lamiaceae.
CGCUGUUAUAUCUCACAGUAUAUUCAUCUACAUCAACUCCAGGAAGAGUGAAUCCUGCCCUAGUUAAAAGAUUUCCUGCAUCACGUACCUGGGCCAAAGGUGACAACCGAGGACUGAUUCCUCCUUCACGUUCCAUUUGAGCCACAGUGCAUGCUAUUCUCAGCUCUCUGAAAGGGAAAAAAAAAACUAAAGCCUUUCACUAAACACAAAGAGCUCCAA